CUGAGCCUGGAAGCUGGAGCCUGCAGUGAGCUAUGAUCAUGUCCCUGUACUCUAGCCUGGGCA
This is a microRNA precursor of Homo sapiens (human), 63 nucleotides long. Lineage: Eukaryota; Metazoa; Chordata; Mammalia; Primates; Hominidae. The record is from Ensembl.